GAGUGAUCAUGGCUCAGAUUGAACGCUGGCGGCAUGCCUUACACAUGCAAGUCGAACGGCAGCACGGGAGCUUGCUCCUGGUGGCGAGUGGCGAACGGGUGAGUAAUGCAUCGGAACGUAUCCUGGAGUGGGGGAUAACGUAGCGAAAGUUACGCUAAUACCGCAUAUUCUGUGAGCAGGAAAGCGGGGGACCUUCGGGCCUCGCGCUCUUGGAGCGGCCGAUGUCGGAUUAGCUAGUUGGUGAGGUAAAGGCUCACCAAGGCGACGAUCCGUAGCAGGUCUGAGAGGAUGAUCUGCCACACUGGAACUGAGACACGGUCCAGACUCCUACGGAGGCAGCAGUGGGAAUUUGGACAAUGGGGCAACCCUGAUCCAGCCAUGCCGCGUGAGUGAAGAAGGCCUCGG
RNAcentral lists this ribosomal RNA (405 nucleotides) under bacterium enrichment culture clone ALO1_GLFRUDD03G3WMD. RNAcentral's name for it is "bacterial SSU rRNA". It matches the Rfam family "Bacterial small subunit ribosomal RNA", at positions 9 to 420 of the family's 1533-position model. The record is from RNAcentral.